This 1017-nucleotide long non-coding RNA is filed under the name Phoenix dactylifera (date palm). RNAcentral describes it as "long non-coding RNA (PDAC_LNC007929)". The record is from RNAcentral. Lineage: Eukaryota; Viridiplantae; Streptophyta; Magnoliopsida; Arecales; Arecaceae.
GGGCUUUUGUUUUCUCUUCCGUUCUUGGCCUCUCUCUUCCGUGGCAGUUUUCCCUCGUCGAUCUCCAUCUCUCCUCCUUCUCUCCUCCCUUCGCCCAUCCAUUCUCGGAGACCGCCACCGAUCUUUCGAUUGGCGGUGGUUCGACAGCCUCGGUGUUUCUCGUAUCUAUUAAUCCUUGCAGGCGCCGGCGGCGAUUUUAGAGGCGGACGUCGUGGAUCGGCUCUCCGAUCUCGGAUCCAAGAGGAUGAGAUCCGAUCGUGGCCUUUUUAUAUCGAUCCGAUCCAAAAAAAUUCCCGAUCUGAAGCCUCGGCUCGUGGGUUUCUUGCCUUACCCCUUUAUAGGAGAAUCCUUUUAUUUUGAUGUUUAGAAGGAGAAAGAUUAUUAGUUUCUCUUGAUCUAUCUGUCGAUUAAUUGGAGAUGUUGGAGAGGAGCGGCAUAAUCCUUAAGUGUUUUUGUUGUUCUUGUUACCGACCUUUGCUAUGUUGGGUGCGCUCGCAUGGCAGGUCACAGAAACCCUAAUGAAAGCUCCAUUUUUUGGUGUUUUAUGGGGGAGAUCGUACGGGGAAUUAAUUUUGCCCUGGGGUCUCCCCUUCGUGUUUCUACGCUCUUGAUUUUUUUUUCUUUUGUUUUUCCUUAGUUCUCUCUGCCAUCGUUUUUUUUUAAAAAAAAUCGUAUAGAAAGUGCCUCAAGGCACGAUCAUGUCGUCGAUAACAUCACUGCAAGAAGAGAUUAACACCCGCUGUAGGUAUGAAUAAUGAUAUUAGUUUGGCAAUUUUGAUAUUCUCUAGUUAAUAAUGAAUUGUUUCAAAAGGUGUAAAUGCCUGCUGGCUCACGUUAUUUAGAUUUUUUAUGUCACAUUAGAUUCGAUGCUACAUACUCCUGAGUUAAACGUCCAGGUGGAGGAAAUAACUCCGGCGUAUAGAAACUAUGGGUUUACAGAGAGAUCAGUUUCCGGUGGAGCUCAGUUUCCUUUGGAGCAUGAUUCCUGAAAGCAAUGUGCAGAAAUUAAAGUUUNNN